This 253-nucleotide ribosomal RNA is filed under the name uncultured bacterium. Its description in RNAcentral is "partial 16S ribosomal RNA". It matches the Rfam family "Bacterial small subunit ribosomal RNA", at positions 524 to 776 of the family's 1533-position model. The record is from RNAcentral.
UACGUAGGGUGCAAGCGUUAAUCGGAAUUACUGGGCGUAAAGCGUGCGCAGGCGGUUAUGCAAGACAGAUGUGAAAUCCCCGGGCUCAACCUGGGAACCGCAUUUGUGACUGCAUAGCUAGAGUACGGUAGAGGGGGAUGGAAUUCCGCGUGUAGCAGUGAAAUGCGUAGAUAUGCGGAGGAACACCGAUGGCGAAGGCAAUCCCCUGGACCUGUACUGACGCUCAUGCACGAAAGCGUGGGGAGCAAACAGG